Molecule: ribosomal RNA, 404 nt
Filed under: uncultured bacterium
Lineage: Bacteria
Description: bacterial SSU rRNA
Rfam family: Bacterial small subunit ribosomal RNA
Source: RNAcentral
UAGGGAAUAUUGCUUAAUGGGCGAAAGCCUGAAGCAGCAACGCCGCGUGCACGAUGAAGGUCUUCGGAUCGUAAAGUGCUUUUUUAGAGGAUGAGGAAGGACAGUACUCUAAGAAUAAGCCUCGGCUAACUACGUGCCAGCAGCCGCGGUAAAACGUAGGAGGCGGGCGUUAUCCGGAUUUACUGGGCGUAAAGCGUGUGCAGGUGGUUUGGUAAGUUGGAUGUGAAAGCUCCUGGCUUAACUGGGAGAGGUCGUUCAAUACUGCCAGACUUGAGAGUGAGAGAGGGAGGUGGAAUUCCGGGUGUAGUGGUGAAAUGCGUAUAUAUCCGGAGGAACACCAGUGGCGAAAGCGGCCUCCUGGCUCAUUUCUGACACUCAUACACGAAAGCUAGGGUAGCAAACGG